RNAcentral lists this long non-coding RNA (1978 nucleotides) under Homo sapiens (human). RNAcentral describes it as "non-protein coding LINC02565:12". Lineage: Eukaryota; Metazoa; Chordata; Mammalia; Primates; Hominidae. The record is from RNAcentral.
GCCUGAGUAAGAAAGCGGCAGAUCCUCUGGUUUGCCAGACAUACUUUUCUGGUUGCUCACAUCUCUAGUGUCACAACAGGAGCCAGGUAAAAUAACUCAGAUUUUGGUUUCUCUGUUUUUCCUCUCCUCCUCACCCCCUCCUACUGUCUCUCUUCGCACUCCCUACCUUAUAUAUGGCAUCUGGACACUUGGGAUGAUUUGAGUCAGUUAAUGUUUGAAAUAUAAUACUGAGUUGAGCAAAAGUUCACGAGAGUGCAACCUGUUCUUGGUCCAUGAGUGCACAGGGACUGAAAUACAGCAGGAGAGAAGCAGAACUGGGAAGUAGUGGGUCUGAUAUGCCCCAGUGCUAAGGUAGCCUCUGCUGCUCUGCUGGCUUCAGUCUCAAGGAGUGGCCAGUUACCCUAGGCUGAUGCUUCCUCCAUACAGAAACCUAGGUAUAUAAAUUGCCAUUUAAAUAAAUUUUCAAAAUGUUAAACUCAUUUGCCAGGACACUGAGAUAAACCUGCUUUUGGGAAUUAUAUUUCGGUGUGCCUGGGAGCAGAAAGGUGAGUUGCAUUUUCUCGCUGCCUCGCUUCCUUCCUUCCUCCCUCCCUCCUCCCUCACUCCCACCAUCCCUCCGCCUUCCCUCGAUCAAUAUUGGCGAUCUCAGGGAAAUCAUGAAAUCGUAUUGGCUUCUUUGUGUAUAAUUUCAUUGGACUAGAAUUAAAGCAGAUUUUUCACGUUGUUUUUAUAAUGGUGGUUUGAGGUUUUAUGUUUCAACCCAAAAUCCAUUUAAAAGGAAAAUGGAUGUGCUUGUUUAGUGAGCACCCUAAUUUUUACUGAAUUAGGUUUGGAUGCCCUUUUCUCUUUCUUUCUAAAAAGGAACAAUAUUUGUUUUUUACUUCAAGACAAUUUUUGGAGUAUCAAUACUAAUACGAUUUUCAAGUAUUUUUUGAAAUAUUUUUGAUGUUUCUUUCUCUAUAGUUCUUUAAGAAAAUAUAAGGGAAAGUGGCUUUCUAACUGCCCCUUGUUUAGCAUCCAUACUUUAACCUUAAGAAGUUCUGCAACUUGGAAUUUUUUCUUUUAAUUUGAAGUUACACUCCUCUUCUCCCCCCUCCCCACCAGCAUUUGAUUUACAAACACACUGUAUAGAAAUGUGGUAUGAUAAGUGCUAAUUCACGGCUAUUAGAAUCUGGACAAACAGUUGUACCAAGCAUUAUAUCAGGACCUGGAUAUUCACUUAGCAUGCCACAUUCACAGGUCCAAUUUUCUUGAAGAUCAGAAACUUAAAUGGGUCAAAAGAAGCAUGAAAAUAAAAUGCAGCUUCGACAACAAGACUAUUAUAGGCUAUUGCACUGUAAAAGAAAAACAUUCUGAACUUGAGUUAGCAAUUGCAGGAAAAUAACUAUUUACUAUCGGAGUUUUUCGUAUGUGUUUUCCACAAUAAAAUUGUUUUUAGGUAUAGAGAGACACACACAGAGAGGUGAACAUUCAAUUAAAAGAGAUACUUUAUAAAUUAUUCACGGAAAAAGAUAAACAGACCACAAGUAAACCCAAUCUGCAUAAGGGGCCCAAUAUCUUUGUUUUUACUAUACAACAGUAACCACGACCCAAAUCUAGGGUAGAGGAGAGCUGCUAAUUUCUACCCCAAUGCUCGAAAUCUUGUCAGGUUUUGUGUCAGGGUAGAACACAUUUAUGCUACAACUAGGUUAUCAGAGCAAUACACACACAAAAAAACAUAAUGGUGGGUUGAUUUGGACUAUUUUAUUUUUGUCCUUCCCCAAACCAUCUGGCGUGUUAGUGUAGGGGUAUUGAUCAGGGAUCUGUGAGCUGCAGACCCCAUGCCAAUCCAUAGCGUUUCUGGCAAUCAGCGUCGCCCAUGAAUUGCAGCUGUCUGUGCAGCUCCUCAACAGAAAUCUUCAAAAAAAAAAAAAAAUUUCCCUCCCUUAUCAAACACAUCAUCCGUUCGGGGGUAAGUCAAUAUCAUUUCUUUGUCAUU